This 370-nucleotide RNase P RNA is filed under the name Planctomycetes bacterium GWF2_50_10. Its description in RNAcentral is "RNase P RNA component class A". It matches the Rfam family "Bacterial RNase P class A". From Rfam's summary of the family: Ribonuclease P (RNase P) is a ubiquitous endoribonuclease, found in archaea, bacteria and eukarya as well as chloroplasts and mitochondria. Its best characterised activity is the generation of mature 5'-ends of tRNAs by cleaving the 5'-leader elements of precursor-tRNAs. The record is from RNAcentral. Lineage: Bacteria; Pseudomonadati; Planctomycetota.
AGAGUGGGUCGGGCAAUCGCCGGCAAUUUCGCCGGAGGAAAGUCCGAGCAGGACAGGGCACGGCGGUGGCUAACGGCCACCCGGGGCGACCCGAGGGAAAGUGCCACAGAAAAUACACAGCCCGCCGCCUGGGUAGCCUUUGGGCCUCAGGCGAGGCAAUGGUGAAAUGGUGCGGUAAGAGCGCACCGCGGCGAUGGUGACACCGCCGGCAGGGCAAACCCCGCCGCCUGCAAGACCAAGCAUGCUGGUUAGCCGGCCCGGCCAUAUCCCAGCGGGUAGGUCGCUUGAACCCGGACGCAAGCCCGGGACCAGAUAAAUGAUUGCCAUCCGUCAAAGGAUACAAAACUCGGCUUACAGACCCACUCUUUUA